RNAcentral lists this ribosomal RNA (261 nucleotides) under uncultured archaeon. RNAcentral describes it as "partial 16S ribosomal RNA". It matches the Rfam family "Archaeal small subunit ribosomal RNA", at positions 748 to 1008 of the family's 1478-position model. The record is from RNAcentral.
CAGCCGUAAACAAUGUGCGUUAGGUGUGUCGGUAACCACGCGUUACUGAUGCGCCGAAGAGAAAUCGUGAAACGCACCACCUGGGAAGUACGGUCGCAAGGCUGAAACUUAAAGGAAUUGGCGGGGGAGCACCGCAACAGGUGGAGCCUGCGGUUUAAUUGGAUUCAACGCCGGACAUCUCACCGGAUAAGACAGCUGAAUGAUUGUCAAUCUGAAGGUUUUACAUGACUAGCUGAGAGGAGGUGCAUGGCGUCAGUGACU